AAACAGUGCGAAAAGGGGCAUUACGCAAAGCCAAUAAAUCUGCGCAGAUUUUUGUCAAUAUUGACAAUAAACUGCAUGUUUUCUUACCGUUAGUAAUCCGACAGUCCGUUGGUCACAUUGUGCAUUAGUCCGUUUAAGUUAUUAUUGCCUUACACUUUUCAAUAUAAAUUUAUGAACUUUAAACAAAAUAAGUAACUAACUAAGUAACUAUUUAACUGACUAACACGCGCGUUUUUUUCCCAAUAUCCGAGACAUUUUACUUUCGCACCUUGCCCUCAAUGUCUGGCUUUUAAAGUUUACCGCCUUUUUGCGAAUACAAUGACGUUUACAUAUGAAUUGCCCAAUGAAAAUUUCGGCGGGAUGACGUCAGGCGCCAAAACUGGCGCGUGGUUUUUCCCGGUAUAGACCCAGUGUGUCAACGCUGUAAAUGCAUUGUGGGAAACGGACUAUUUCCAGCAUGGCGCCCGUAAAGAUUAUGAACACGGAAGUAAAAAUAGUAAUAAAUUAUUAUCAAAAACAGGCCUCAUCAAACCGGGUCAGCCAUGAUAUAUUCUUGGAUGCAGUUUGUGCUUCAAAAGGAGCUACUUUUCAUGCCAGCCUAUCGAUACUAUGUGGGAACUGGGAUUCGGGAUGCUCUCCCACUGGUAUCAUAUGCAGAUCAGUGGUCACAAGAACGUACACAACAUCAUUAAUGUCAGCAAUAUAUAUCUCCAACUUCAAACACACAGCUUGCAAAAUCGCUGAAUAUUGCACAAAAGCAGCUUCGUUACAAACUUCCAGCAACUCGAAAUCCACAAGCAGUCUCGUUCCCCACCCACUUUGACUUCGUAGCGAAGGCAUGUUUUUUUUGGGAAACCGUUAACAUCUCACAACUAAACGUAUACUACGGAGAUUGACAAGUUGAAAAAUAAAUUACUGUAAUCACUUCCAAUUUGCGCACUAAGUUAAACUCCAGUUCCAGUUUGUCUUUAUUGUUGAAAUGUUACUCUACACAUUCGCUUUGAAAAUAGAGGUUGGCGUGUUGUUGGAAGUACAUGUACAUGUCGAAUGUGUUAUUGUAAAAACUAUUGGUAUUGUGUUUUUAGUGCAGACAUUGUAUUUAAGUUUCGAUUUCUAGCAUAAAUUUAUAUAUUUUGUUAAAUAAUUUGCGUUUGAAUGUGAUUGUUUGUUGCUUACUUGCGAACUAUUUUUUAUGUGUAAAUAUGCAUAGACGCUAGUGGAUAUGUAAUCAGGUUACCAUAUUUACAACAAUAAAAUUUAACGGCUGUU
This is a long non-coding RNA of Dreissena polymorpha, 1269 nucleotides long. RefSeq lists it as uncharacterized. The record is from RefSeq and is a predicted model, not a curated record. Lineage: Eukaryota; Metazoa; Mollusca; Bivalvia; Myida; Dreissenidae. The transcript is spliced from 2 exons.